This 492-nucleotide ribosomal RNA is filed under the name uncultured bacterium. RNAcentral describes it as "partial 16S ribosomal RNA". It matches the Rfam family "Bacterial small subunit ribosomal RNA", at positions 29 to 507 of the family's 1533-position model. The record is from RNAcentral.
AGUGAACGCUGGCGGUAGGCCUAACACAUGCAAGUCGAACGGCAGCACAGUAAGAGCUUGCUCUUACGGGUGGCGAGUGGCGGACGGGUGAGGAAUACAUCGGAAUCUACUUUUUCGUGGGGGAUAACGUAGGGGAACUUACGCGAAUACCGCAUACGACCUACGGGUGGAAGCAGGGGAUCUUCGUACCUUGCGCGAUUGAAUGAGCCGAUGUCGGAUUAGCUAGUUGGCGGGGGAAAGGCCCACCAAGGCGACGAACCGUAGCUGGUCUGAGAGGAUGAUCAGCCACACUGGAACUGAGACACGGGCCAGACUCCUACGGGAGGCAGCAGUGGGGAAUAUUGGACAAUGGGAGCAAGCCUGAUCCAGCAAUACCGCGUGGGUGAAGAAGGCCUUCGGGUUGGAAAGCCCUUUUGUUGGGAAAGAAAAGCAGCAGGUUAAUACCCAGCUGUUCUGACGGUACCCAAAGAAUAAGCACCGGCUAACUUCGUG